UAUUGGACAAUGGGCGAAAGCCUGAUCCAGCAAUGCCGCGUGAGUGAUGAAGGCCCUAGGGUUGUAAAGCUCUUUUACCCGGGAAGAUAAUGACUGUACCGGGAGAAUAAGCUCCGGCUAACUCCGUGCCAGCAGCCGCGGUAAUACGGAGGGAGCUAGCGUUGUGCGGAAUUACUGGGCGUAAAGCGCACGUAGGCGGCUUUGCAAGUUAGAGGGGAAAGCCCGGGGCUCAACCCCGGAAUAGCCUUUAAAACUGCAUCGCUUGAAUCCAGGAGAGGUGAGUGGAAUUCCGAGUGUAGAGGUGAAAUUCGUAGAUAUUCGGAAGAACACCAGUGGCGAAGGCGGCUCACUGGACUGGUAGUGACGCUGAGGUGCGAAAGCGUGGGGAGCAAACAG
RNAcentral lists this ribosomal RNA (396 nucleotides) under uncultured bacterium. RNAcentral describes it as "bacterial SSU rRNA". It matches the Rfam family "Bacterial small subunit ribosomal RNA", at positions 362 to 775 of the family's 1533-position model. The record is from RNAcentral.